CACUCCUACGGGAGGCAGCAGUGGGGAAUUUUGGACAAUGGGCGAAAGCCUGAUCCAGCCAUGCCGCGUGCAGGAUGAAGGCCUUCGGGUUGUAAACUGCUUUUGUACGGAACGAAACGGCCUUUUCUAAUAAAGAGGGCUAAUGACGGUACCGUAAGAAUAAGCACCGGCUAACUACGUGCCAGCAGCCGCGGUAAUACGUAGGGUGCAAGCGUUAAUCGGAAUUACUGGGCGUAAAGCGUGCGCAGGCGGUUAUGUAAGACAGUUGUGAAAUCCCCGGGCUCAACCUGGGAACUGCAUCCGUGACUGCAUAGCUAGAGUACGGUAGAGGGGGAUGGAAUUCCGCGUGUAGCAGUGAAAUGCGUAGAUAUGCGGAGGAACACCGAUGGCGAAGGCAAUCCCCUGGACCUGUACUGACGCUCAUGCACGAAAGCGUGGGGAGCAAACAGGAUUAGAUACCCGAGUAGUCCCA
Molecule: ribosomal RNA, 472 nt
Filed under: uncultured organism
Description: partial 16S ribosomal RNA
Rfam family: Bacterial small subunit ribosomal RNA
Source: RNAcentral